GAAGCAGCAACGAUGGCCGUUCGGCGGCAGUGACCGACGACUACGUGGCGCGACACUUUCCCCCCAUCGCGGUCCUCUCUCUCGUCUCAGAUCUGCUCUGCGACGGCGCAGAGACGGCGGCGCGACUGGAACUGGGUGCGGCUCCACCAACCUCGCGUCUUCUCCCUCAGCGGCGUCCAUGGCUCGCGCCUCCAACGUGACAGGCAGAUCGAUUAGGAGGCCCGGCGGCGCUAGCUUUCCCCUGGCGAUGACAAGGACGCGUGGACUGCUGCAGCGGCGCGACGCGGUGAGGGCGAUGGCGGCGCGGUGAACUUUCUCUCGAUUUCCACCCUUGGAUUUGCGACGGCGUUCCUUUCUCUCCCUCUGUUAGAAACGGCGGCGACGGUGGCAGUGGCACCCACCGCGCCGCCUCCCUCUUCUCCCCUCUUCCCUAAUUCUUUGCUUGUUGUCCUCUGCCUG
Molecule: non-coding RNA, 459 nt
Organism: Arachis ipaensis
Lineage: Eukaryota; Viridiplantae; Streptophyta; Magnoliopsida; Fabales; Fabaceae
Source: RefSeq, a predicted model, not a curated record